CCUACGGGUGGCUGCAGUGGGGAAUAUUGGACAAUGGGCGCAAGCCUGAUCCAGCCAUGCCGCGUGAGUGAUGAAGGCCUUCGGGUUGUAAAGCUCUUUUGGCGGGGACGAUGAUGACGGUACCCGCAGAAUAAGCCCCGGCAAACUUCGUGCCAGCAGCCGCGGUAAGACGAAGGGGGCUAGCGUUGUUCGGAAUUACUGGGCGUAAGGGGCGCGUAGGCGGUCCAUUAAGUCAGGCGUGAAAGCCCUGGGCUCAACCUGGGAGUUGCGGUUGAUACUGGCGGACUAGAGAGUGGGAGAGGUUGGUGGAAUUCCCAGUGUAGAGGUGAAAUUCGUAGAUAUUGGGAAGAACACCGGUGGCGAAGGCGGCCAACUGGACCAUUUCUGACGCUGAGGCGCGAAAGCGUGGGGAGCAAACAGGAUUAGAUACCCGAGUAGUC
RNAcentral lists this ribosomal RNA (440 nucleotides) under uncultured bacterium. RNAcentral's name for it is "partial 16S ribosomal RNA". It matches the Rfam family "Bacterial small subunit ribosomal RNA", at positions 338 to 795 of the family's 1533-position model. The record is from RNAcentral.